RNA transcript from Impatiens glandulifera, 1917 nucleotides. It is a transcript of the gene named transcription repressor KAN1-like, with no coding region annotated. NCBI's taxonomy places the organism in Eukaryota, Viridiplantae, Streptophyta, Magnoliopsida, Ericales, Balsaminaceae. The record is from RefSeq and is a predicted model, not a curated record. The transcript is spliced from 7 exons.
CGUGCUAAAAUAGUGAAGGAGGGUUAUAUAUGUAAAAUUGAAAUGGAAGAGCUUAGCUAACGCAAUUGUUAUGUUGAAGACAAGGACAGAACAUUUGAGUCCUUUUCUUUCUCGAGUGUCCUUUUCCUAAUAGUACAUUAUACUCUCUCUCUCUCUUUCUUUCUUCAUAUCAACACCCUCCAUCUCCAACUUGCCUUUCUGCAAAAUCCCAUCCCAUUCUCUUUUAAUUCUAUUCCUUUUUCUUCUCUCUCUCUCAAACCAACAAGAAGAAAUGGAUAGAAAGAGGUGUUUCAAAUCUUGAUCAUUAUCCACGACAGACAUACCCAAAUCAAGAAGUAAACACUGGGUUAGUGUGUAAUCAUUUACUAUUCUUGAUUUUUCAAUUGGGAUUUACAUCUCAACUUUUAAAGAUUCAAUCUUUGUUUUAGUUAUCUAACUUAUAAUUAUUAAAAAGAUGCCCUUAGAAGGGAUCUUCAUUGAACAACCCUCUUCAAACACACCCGAUCUGUCUCUUCAUAUUAGCCCUCCAAAUAAUGCUCUAAUUAAUUCAAGAAACUCCGAUCUCAGACGUCUGAACCCUAACUACUCCGCCAACACUGAACUCUCUUUAUCCCAUCCAGCUGCUAGCUCUUCCGGCCAACAGAUAAUAAUCCCCCGUCACAGAAAUAUUAAUCAUGAAGUCUUAUUCCCAUCCGACGGCCAGCAGAAACCCAUCAAGGGAAUUCCAGUUUAUCAGAACCGUACGUUCCCCUUCUUAUCUCUAGACCAUGGAAUUCACAAAAGUGGAGAUCAUUCAAAGUUACACAGCUUGUACCAUCAUCAUUAUCACCACCACCAACAGCAGCAACAUCAACAACAACAACAGCAUAUGUCUACUUCUUAUAGUAACCUCGGGCCUGGUCUGGAUCCUAUCUCGAUUUUAGGCCCUAACAGCCCGGUUUACCGAAGAUUCAAUGGGCUCAACCACCAGUACUACGGCGGCAGCCACCAUCAGAUGACUCCAGCAAGGUUUAGUCCGAAGAUGCCGAUGAAGAGGAGCAUGAGAGCUCCUAGGAUGAGAUGGACAAGUACCCUUCAUGCACGCUUUGUUCACGCAGUUGAGUUACUCGGAGGCCAUGAAAGGGCAACUCCGAAGUCGGUGUUAGAGCUAAUGGAUGUGAAAGAUCUUACAUUAGCUCAUGUGAAGAGCCAUUUACAGAUGUAUAGAACUGUUAAAACAACUGACAAGCCUGCGGCUUCAUCUGGUCAAUCAGAAGGGUCUGAAGAAGAUGAUAUCUCGACGGAGGCAGGCACCGGCGGCGGGGUUAGCGGCGGACAUCAAUUGUCGGCGGGUAGUUUGUGGAGGAGUAAUUCUUCGAGCAGAGACGCUUGGAUACAAACAAACUCCAAUAAUGUAGAUCAUGAAUUGAGACCAUCCGAUUUGUCAACGGAAGAGAGAUUCAUAAACCAUAUAGAGGAACCGAAUCGCUUCACAAGUUACUUAAGCUCGACUUUGAAUCAAAAGAAUCCGAACUUGGAGUUCACAUUAGGGAGACCAGAUUGGCGGGCCAAAUAGAGGAAAUGAUUAAGCUAAUAAUUUAGCUAAUUAAAAGUUAAUAAGAAAAAAAUGUCCAACAAAUUAAUAGGUAUAUACUAAUGGACAUGGAGAUAAUUAAUGAGGCAUGGAAAAGAUGCCCUAGUGUACUGUAGCUUGCAUGGGAAUAUCUAGCUAGGGCUUCAAAUAAAGUAUCAGGAAGAUACCCGAGUUAUGAUUAACGUCUCCUACGCACAUAGCUAUCAACCGGGGAAAAGUAAGUGACGACGAGCUUGGUGAACAAUCCCGAGCUAUCCUGAUCCAAAUAUUGAUGUCCUUCUCAAAAGAGAAUCUGUAAACUAUUUUGAUAAGAGUGUUUUUUCUUAAAAUGAGAUUAUCCUGAA